Molecule: long non-coding RNA, 3651 nt
Filed under: Nicotiana tabacum (common tobacco)
Lineage: Eukaryota; Viridiplantae; Streptophyta; Magnoliopsida; Solanales; Solanaceae
Description: long non-coding RNA (NTAB_LNC016031)
Source: RNAcentral
UGGUAAACUCAACCCCACAUUUGCCUCCAUUUUUAAUUUUUCACCGCCAACUUGCCUACUUGCCUUUUUGUGACCCUGGAUCAACAAUAAUGGUGCUUAUUCCCUUGGUUGAGAAGAUACUUUUAUUUCCGAGAGAUCUUGGAUUGUUCUUGUAACUCGCCAUUGCAAACCGACCACCUUUGACUAGCUUUUAUUUCAAAACAACAACCAUAUUAGAAUAAACACCCUUUUCUUUUCUUUUUUUUUCCUUUUUUUUCUUGUUUCUUUUCUCUCUCUUUUUUUUUCUCUUUUUCAUUUUCCCCUUUUUUAAACCAUUCGAUCGAACCUGAUGUGGGUUGCCUACGUAUCAUAUGGGAACAUCAAUCAGAUCUUGCGUAGUUUGGGAAGAUUAGAAACAAAGUAAAUAAACUAAGUCUUUUUGGAUUUUGAAAUUUGUUUUUUUCGAAAGAAAUACUUACAAAGAAGAAAGAAAAUAUUUUUUGGAUUUCGAUUUAUUUUUUUUUAAGAUUUUUUUUGAAAAUAAAGAAGUCUAAAGAAGAGGAAAAAAAUAUUUUCUUGAAUUUUAACUUCUUUUUCUUUUUUUCUGGAAAUUUCGAAAGAAAACCUUCUAAAUAAGAAAGGAAAUUGGACUUUUACUUUUAUUUAUGAAAGGAAUGCUUCUUAAAAAAAGAAAAUAUUUUUGAAUUUUGAAUUUUCAUUUCAAUUUUGAAAGAAGAAUGAAAAUAUUUUUGGAUAUUUGGGAGAAAUUAAAAGAAAAUAUUUUUGUAUAUUUUUUUUAAAAAUUAUUAGUGUCUAAAAGAAAGGCUUUCUAAAGAAGCAAGUAAUGGAAAAUAUUUUUUUGAUUUUUUGAAAAUUGGGGUCUCAAAAUAAAAGACUUUUNNNNNNNNNNNNNNNNNNNNNNNNNNNNNNNNNNNNNNNNNNNNNNNNNNNNNNNNNNNNNNNNNNNNNNNNNNNNNNNNNNNNNNNNNNNNNNNNNNNNNNNNNNNNNNNNNNNNNNNNNNNNNUUCGUUCCCUAUUCUAGAAGCCAGUCAACAUGCAAGCCGAAACAGACAGAUACGCAAGUACCACAUAAGAUGCAUCAAAAUGGUCUUUUGAUUUUUGGGUACACCUGUCCUAGACAAACCCAACCUCUGUGUUGAGUCUCCAAAGUCAAAUGCACAUGAUGCAAACAAACGUUCCUACUAGGGAUCCGACAUGAGGUUGAGUUAUUCUAGGUUUAAAACAUGGGUGUAUUAUUCUAGACCUAGCUUACCCGAGCGGACAACUCGAGCCGAGGAGAGGUUGCAUACCGGUAACCAAAAGAUUAUCCGGCUAUGCAACUUGUCCGAACCUCGUUGUAUUUGGGAUAUGACACUAACAGAAAGAAGUCACGACCAGCGUGCACUCCUCAGGAGAGAGAAGAGAGGGGUUUCAUAGCAGUUUAUAUACAAUUCAGAUAAUAUCAAAGCGGUAAAGCAACAUUUAGCACAUUAGGCCCAAACAUGUAAUAAAAUCAGAUAAUAAAUAAAGCCAAAUAUAACAAUUCAUCUAAGCUCGAAUUCUGAAUCCUGAACCAGAGAUUCUGGGUUCAUUCCCCAGUAGAGUCGCCAGAGCUGUCACACCUCCUUUUUACCUAUACCCGGAAGGGUGUAAGGGAGUUUUUCCAAUUAAAGUGACAAUUGAAACGGGAUUAUUUCAUUUAAAAAUUCAGAGUCGCCACUUGGGAUAAUUUAUGGUGUCCCAAGUAACCUAUUUAGAAUCCCGAAUCGAGGAAAGAUUGACUCUGUUUUUCAGUCCGUGAACAUAGAAAUCCGGGUAAGGAAUUCUGUUAACCCGGGAGAAGGUGUUAGGCAUUCCCGAGUUCCGUGGUUUUAGCAAGUCCGCUCAACUGUUAUUAUUGGCCUAAUUAUCUGAUUUUAAAAACACUUUUAAACCUACGGUGCAAUUUUAACUUAUUAACCGCUUUUAAUUAAUUUUAGGAAAUUCAACGUUAUCUAAAAGACGUCUUGAACCACGCCACACGAAAUGCAUCCCCGGUCCGCGACAUAUUUUAUGUAACAUUGUUGAGAUUUGGAUUUGGGUCACAUAAAUGCACACCCGAGUUUAGGAAAGUAAUUUUUAAAUAGCACGCCUAUAGCAACUACACUCUUUCUACUUUGUGAGGGCCAUGAAAAUUCAACUAAAUGGCACGCCUCGAUUUCUAGGGAUUAAAAAUUAAUACAAUGAGGGCCAUGCAUUUGAGAUUUUUGUUCGGCACGACACACCUCAAAUUAUUUCAAAGGGGUUUUAUUAUCCGAAAUUGUUAUGAUCAGGUCACAUGAAAUGCAUCCCCGAAUUUGGAAAUUAUAAAUCACAUCUACGUCAUGGGAACCAUACCCGUAGCCAUGAUAAUUUAAUUAUGUGCCUAAAGCAAACUACGAUGAUUUGUGAUUAUUUUUCCUACAAAUAGAUUAACCUUUCAUUCAAACAAGAUCCAAUUUCAAACUUAAUGUCUUCAACAUAAUUGGCAUGAACUUAAAUAAUCAGAAUACUCCAAGUUUAAUCACGGUUCACUCAAAAUGCAAAAUUAACAUCACAUGGAUUAACUUUUUUUUGUCAAUCUGAGAACAUAAAACUUAAACCCAAUAGCAUAGACCAAAACGAUAUGUGAUGCUGCCAACCAUAUUUCUGAGCUGUAUAUCAUAUGCUUAUUUGGCUCACUUUUCUUUGCUAUAAAAAUACACUAAUUACAGCACUAUCUUUUCCAGUUCAGCCACAUCAAUUUUUUUGCCAAUUCAAUCAGUUUAUUUUGAUGGCCCUCCAAAUACCUCUACUGCCUUAUAGGAAAGGAAAACAAUUUUUUUAUGAUUCAUGGAAAUCAGUGUGAAGUACAUCUGAUACGUUCUAUUAUAAAUUUCACAUCGCUAUUGCAAAUUAAACACAAUUUCAACCCAAGGUCUCCAUGAAUCAGAUUCUAUAACAAAUAAAUCAAUUAACAGAUCUCAACUUAGAGAGGCGUGAGUGGACCUUUGAUGUUUAACUCGACCAAACAAAAGCCUUCAAUCAGAGAUGGAAACUUAAUCAGCAGAACAAAACGAUAAUAGGACAACGCCGCCGAUCACAAACGGAACUUCGAACAGAAUCUCGCAUUCAUAACAUUGCGAUAACAUUGUAAUAGAACCAGAAUAAAAUGAAAGAAGUAAUCUUACCACCAAAAAUGGAAACCUCGAACCAGACCAGAAAACACGCCGGAACCGCGACAAAACUCCACAACGGGCCUUGUCGGAACCACGGAUAGAACCUUGUCGUGAACUCAACACGACUCAAACUCUGAACUCGCCGUAUUUCAGGGUUUUAAAUUGACAAUCAGAAGAAGAAACUAACAUUUGAAACAAAAUCAAAGGUUUUGAAUCCGAAGUCCGUCCUCCGUUUUUGCCGUUCGUCCCUUCACCACAAAAUCCCCAAGUUUCUUUUGAUAUGUCACUAUGUGUUUAUAUGAAGAAUCCCCAAUUGAAUAAAGUGUGUUUUGUUUGAGAAGAAAAUUUCAAAUGUAUGGCUGCCGUGAUAUUUGAAGAAGGAGGUGCCUUCUUUAUCCCUAAGUCAUCUUUUUGGUCUUUUCUUGGCAUUUUAACUGAUGAAUUUUUGGGAGUCGACCAUGGGAACGACGGAUUCCAUUUUUGCAGAGUGUUUUUU